RNAcentral lists this ribosomal RNA (236 nucleotides) under uncultured Candidatus Saccharibacteria bacterium. Its description in RNAcentral is "partial 16S ribosomal RNA". It matches the Rfam family "Bacterial small subunit ribosomal RNA", at positions 584 to 818 of the family's 1533-position model. The record is from RNAcentral. Lineage: Bacteria; Candidatus Saccharimonadota.
UAAGUAGCUAGUGAAAUCUGGUGGCUCAACCAUUCAGACUAUUAGCUAAACUGACUAGCUCGAGAGCGUUAGGGGUAGCUGGAAUUUCUAGUGUAGGAGUGAAAUCCGUAGAUAUUAGAAAGAACACCGAUAGCGUAGGCAGGCUACUGGGACGUUUCUGACACUAAGGCACGAAAGCGUGGGGAGCAAACGGGAUUAGAUACCCCGGUAGUCCACGCUGUAAACGAUGGAUGCUA